CACAAGCAGGAAGAAAUGACACGCUACUCACCCCAAAAGGUAAGGGAGAUUCACCUGUAAACUUUUGAAUGUCCGACGGCGCCGUGCUUUAUUUAUGUAUUUAUUUAUUGCGCAACGAGGAGCUGAAUCUCAAAAUUCACAACAUUAGUUAGAUCCAUGAAAAAUCUUCCAAGUAAGUCUACUUCAAUGUCUUUCUGUGACUCUUCCAGUCUCUCUCUCUUGCGCCCUGCUGAUGUCAUUCUAUGAGCGCCCGAGGUCAUUCUUUGGCAACAGAUGAUCAGAACCUUCUUUUAGGAACGGAAACCCAACAAGUCAGCAGACGUGCACUGCAGCCAAAAUGUGCCACACGCGUUCAAACAGCCCCAAAUUGAACGACUUACAUCGCACAUAUAGCCGCUGCGCACGACGUUCGCCCACGCAUCUCUUCAUGGGCCGAUGCACCGAGUACAUCCUGGUGCACAGGUACAUCUCCUCCCUGCAGUCUACACGGGCACACAAGCAGAGGUGUCAAAAUAUCAUUCCAUCGUAUUAUUCUUGGUAAAAAAAAAAAUGCCGUUAUGACAUCAUGAAAUCAAAAUGAAAACUAGCUGAGCAUUUUUUUUUUUGGCCACACUUUCUCCUUCAGUGCAUGUGCUGCUCAUGCCUUGGCCACCUGGGGGCAGUAUAAGACUCAUUCGAAUAAAUUGUACUGGACUCUCAGCUCCUCUCUUGGCUUCUCACGAUGGCAGUAAUCAUCAUUCUUUGCAGAGGAUAAAGAAUAUCUGCCUACAUGUUGUGGUGGCCCACUUACUGGCUGGCGGGAGGGUCCUGGCGGGUGCCUCGGUGGUCUCUGGUGACGAGAAAAAGGAAAGUCACAGCGCAAUAUGCAGCAAUGUGUUGAUCAAUAAGAGGAGUCUUUUCGUGAAACGUUACCGAUCUCCUGGGCUUGG
Long non-coding RNA from Hippocampus comes (tiger tail seahorse), 929 nucleotides. RefSeq lists it as uncharacterized. The record is from RefSeq and is a predicted model, not a curated record. Lineage: Eukaryota; Metazoa; Chordata; Actinopteri; Syngnathiformes; Syngnathidae. The transcript has 3 exons.